UCAUCAAACAAUUCACUUCCUCAGCAAUGCCAAAUCACACUCCCUCAAUUCUCAAGCCUAUGCAAACCUUCCUUCGCACGAAAUCCUUUUUUCUGAUAAGUGAAUACAACCUCAAGAUCGCCAACAAUCCAUCUCAACUGGAGCUGCAGCAAUUUGCAACCAUCUUCCCACUUUGUUCUUUCACCCUUGCUCGAAGAAUUUUCGUGUUCGAUUACCACACAUCCUGCUUCAAAACCCAGUUCAAUCAGGAAAGUUGCUUCUCAUUUUGGAAGGCUGAAGGACACCGACUUAGCCCCAAGUGAAGAUAAAAAAAGAACAGAAAGUCUAAAGCUACGAUUGGAACUAGUGCUGCAACUGUGAGGGAAUCAGGUGGAGAGAUCAUCUCAUCCGGUUAAGAUUUCUAUAUGUCCUACACUCGGGACUGAACAACUCAGACCUGAAUGCAUCUCCGGAGGCCACGAAAAGCUCAACAACUCCAUAGCAGGAUAAACGGGGCAUUGACAGUAUGGUCAUGGGGGCGAAUUCCUGGAGCAUCAUCCCUUCGGAAGCAUGGGCUUAGUUGGUUGUCACAUAACUCGGCUCUGUUCAACCCAUGCACCGCACACGACUGCAUC
Molecule: long non-coding RNA, 614 nt
Filed under: Physcomitrium patens
Lineage: Eukaryota; Viridiplantae; Streptophyta; Bryopsida; Funariales; Funariaceae
Description: long non-coding RNA (PPAT_LNC008265)
Source: RNAcentral